RNAcentral lists this long non-coding RNA (665 nucleotides) under Cricetulus griseus (Chinese hamster). RNAcentral's name for it is "lncRNA (ENSCGRG00015041714.1)". Lineage: Eukaryota; Metazoa; Chordata; Mammalia; Rodentia; Cricetidae. The record is from RNAcentral.
GACAGUAGUAAGAUGGUAUCUCAGUGUAGGGGAAGCUGUAGCCUACUUAGGGGCUGGCUACAGGUGUGCCUGACCAUGCUUUCGAGGGCGUGGUCAGGGUGGCGUAGAGUGACUGCGUUUUCUCUUUCGGUUUCACUUUGGUACUUGCUGGACAGACUGCUGCCACGCCGGCUGGCUAGGUCGCUCUCGCUGGAAUUAAAGGUGUGAGCCACUGUGCCUAGCACUGAGGAAGAAGUGCAGAACUUUGUGCAUAUUGGGCAAGCGCUCUGCCAACCGAGCUGCAUGAGCUGCAUCCUUAGCCCAGACACUUUCUUUAAGGGGCUCCUGUGGAGAGCAGCUGUGGCAUUGGUGGCCACAGUUCCUACUGGUGGGUCAUGGGCUCCUGGCACAGCAUGCCCUUGGCCACUGCGGUCAUCAGGCUGGUUGGAGGAUAGCAUGCAGCUGGCAGCUGUGCCAACCAGGAGCCAGAGGGGCAGACACCACAGCCAGUACAAAAGGAAGCAGCCUCCCUCCAAAGAGGGCUUUAAUUGAUGUGCUACAAACUGUUGUUACUUAAAGCGCAUGAUUUGGACCAGAUGUAAUGGUGCACACCUGCAAUCCCUGACUUGACUGAGUGCCAGAAGUUCAAGACUAGGAUUGACAAUAUAACGAGUUCUAAAGCCAGC